RNAcentral lists this ribosomal RNA (522 nucleotides) under uncultured bacterium. RNAcentral describes it as "partial 16S ribosomal RNA". It matches the Rfam family "Bacterial small subunit ribosomal RNA", at positions 28 to 507 of the family's 1533-position model. The record is from RNAcentral.
GAUGAACGCUGGCGGGGUGCCUAAUACAUGCAAGUCGAACGCUUUGUCUUUAAUUGUUCUGAAGUGCUUGUUCUGAUUUGAUUUUAUCUGACAAAGAGUGGCGCACGGGUGAGUAACACGUGGGUAACCUACCUCUUAGCAGGGGAUAACAUUUGGAAAUAAGUGCUAAUACCGUAUAACACUAACAACCGCAUGGUUGUUAGUUGAAUGAUGGUUCUGCUAUCACUAAGAGAUGGACCCGCGGUGCAUUAGCUAGUUGGUAAGGUAAUGGCUUACCAAGGCGAUGAUGCGUAGCCGAGUUGAGAGACUGAUCGGCCACAAUGGGACUGAGACACGGCCCAGACUCCUACGGGAGGCAGCAGUAGGGAAUCUUCCACAAUGGGCGCAAGCCUGAUGGAGCAACGCCGCGUGUGUGAUGAAGGGUUUCGGCUCGUAAAACACUGUUAUAAGGGAAGAACGACAUUGAGAGUAACUGUUCAGUGUGUGACGGUAUCUUAUCAGAAAGGAACGGCUAAAUACGUG